RNAcentral lists this ribosomal RNA (800 nucleotides) under uncultured bacterium. RNAcentral's name for it is "bacterial SSU rRNA". It matches the Rfam family "Bacterial small subunit ribosomal RNA", at positions 8 to 815 of the family's 1533-position model. The record is from RNAcentral.
AGAGUUUGAUCAUGGCUCAGGAUAAACGCUGGCGGCGCACAUAAGACAUGCAAGUCGAACGAACUUAACUCAUUCUUUUAGUUUGAGAGCGGUUAGUGGCGGACUGGUGAGUAACGCGUGAGCAACCUGCCUAUUAGAGGGGAAUAACAGUGAGAAAUCACUGCUAAUACCGCAUAUGCUUACAGUAUCGCAUGAUACAGUAAGGAAAGGAGCAAUCCGCUAAUAGAUGGGCUCGCAUCUGAUUAGCUAGUUGGUGGGGUAAAAGCUUACCAAGGCGAUGAUCAGUAGCCGGACUGAGAGGUUGAACGGCCACAUUGGGACUGAGAUACGGCCCAGACUCCUACGGGAGGCAGCAGUCGGGAAUAUUGCGCAAUGGAGGAAACUCUGACGCAGUGACGCCGCGUAUAGGAAGAAGGUUUUCGGAUUGUAAACUAUAGUCGUUAGGGAAGAUAAAAGACUGUACCUAAGGAGGAAGCCCCGGCUAACUAUGUGCCAGCAGCCGCGGUAAUACAUAGGGGGCAAGCGUUAUCCGGAUUUAUUGGGUGUAAAGGGUGCGUAGAUGGAGGAACAAGUUAGUUGUGAAAUCCCUCGGCUUAACUGAGGAACUGCAACUAAAACUAUUUCCCUUGAGUGUCGGAGAGGAAAGUGGAAUUCCUAGUGUAGCGGUGAAAUGCGUAGAUAUUAGGAGGAACACCGGUGGCGAAGGCGACUUUCUGGACGAUAACUGACAUUGAGGCACGAAAGUGUGGGGAGCAAACAGGAUUAGAUACCCUGGUAGUCCACACUGUAAACGAUGGAUA